GUUUCUCAUAUGAGAUCCCGCACUGCCCUGACUCUGCCACUUACCUUCAAUAUAUCUGCCCACCCAGUGAGGAGGAGUUCAUGCAAAUCCUGACAUCAUCAUCAUAUAUUUAUCUCUCUGCACUAAGAGGUAACUGGAUUUGAAUCUGUCAGUCAUGGCGUCUUUAACGAGGUUCCCUGUAGUUCUGAUGGUUAUAUACUUAACAGGUGUUGAUACACAGACUCUGACUGAGUCUGAACCAGCAGUUAAAAAGCCUGGAGAAUCACACAGACUGACAUGUACAGCCUCUGGGUUCACAUUCAGUAGCUAUCGUAUGAACUGGGUCAGACAGGCUCCUGGGAAGGGACUGGAGUGGGUCGCAUAUAUUACAGCAGUCACUGGGACUCACACUUACUACUCACAAUCUGUUCAGGGCAGAUUCACCAUCUCCAGAGACAACGGCAAGAACCAGGUGUAUUUACAGAUGAACAGCCUGAAAGCUGAAGACACGGCUGUGUACUACUGUGCCAGAGACUCACAGUGAUGGGGGCUGUGGGGAAGCCGUACAAAUACUAC
Brienomyrus brachyistius is the source of this 555-nucleotide non-coding RNA. Lineage: Eukaryota; Metazoa; Chordata; Actinopteri; Osteoglossiformes; Mormyridae. The record is from the annotation of a RefSeq genome assembly.